AGAGCGAACGCUGGCGGCAGGCCUAACACAUGCAAGUCGAGCGCCCGUAGCAAUACGGGAGCGGCAGACGGGAUAGUAACACGUGGGAACGCGCCCUUCGGUUCGGAAUAACUCAGGGAAACUUGAGCUAAUACCGGAUACGCCCUUACGGGGAAAGAUUUAUUGCCGAAGGAACGGCCCGCGUCCGAUUAGCUAGUUGGUGAGGUAAUGGCUCACCAAGGCGACGAUCGGUAGCUGGUCUGAGAGGAUGACCAGCAUCACUGGGACUGAGACACGGCCCAGACUCCUACGGGAGGCAGCAGUGGGGAAUAUUGGACAAUGGGCGCAAGCCUGAUCCAGCCAUGCCGCGUGGAUGAUGAAGGCCCUAGGGUUGUAAAGCUCUUUUGUGCGGGAAGAUAAUGACGGUACCGCAAGAAUAAGCCCCGGCUAACUUCGUGCCAGCAGCCGC
Molecule: ribosomal RNA, 448 nt
Filed under: uncultured bacterium
Lineage: Bacteria
Description: SSU rRNA
Rfam family: Bacterial small subunit ribosomal RNA
Source: RNAcentral